Non-coding RNA from Pelobates cultripes (western spadefoot toad), 429 nucleotides. NCBI's taxonomy places the organism in Eukaryota, Metazoa, Chordata, Amphibia, Anura, Pelobatidae. The record is from the annotation of a GenBank genome assembly.
CCGGAGGCUUAACGACCGUACCAUAACCGAUGCCUACCCCAUGCCUAGAAUAGAUGAGCUCUUAGAUCGUAUGGCGGGGGGGAACUACUCGACUACCCUGGACCUGUGCAAGGGUUAUUGGCAGAUCCCCCUGGAGCCUGCGGCCAUCCCCAAGUCGGCGUUCGUCCCCCCGUUUGGGCUAUACCAAUUCAAGGUUAUGCCCUUUGGGAUGAAGAACGCCCCGGCUACGUUUCAGCGGAUGGCGGAUAGGCUCCUGGAGGGAUUGCAGGACUUCGCAUGUGCGUAUCUAGAUGAUAUUGCCAUCUAUAGCCGCACAUGGGGAGACCAUCUGGGUCAUGUGUCCAGGGUGCUCGAACGAAUCCACCUCGCCGGGCUCACUUUAAAACCCGACAAAUGUCACGUAGGCCUAGCCGAGGUCCAGUAUCUAGG